Long non-coding RNA from Nothoprocta perdicaria, 1214 nucleotides. RefSeq lists it as uncharacterized. Lineage: Eukaryota; Metazoa; Chordata; Aves; Tinamiformes; Tinamidae. The record is from RefSeq and is a predicted model, not a curated record. The transcript is spliced from 3 exons.
UCUCUCCCACAUGCAUAAUUGUGCUUUUAUUAUUCUGUGCUGAAUGCAAUUUUCAACUUGCUGUUUGAUAAAUGUAUUUGUGUAAUUUAAAUAGGUGCUAGGAAGGUUGAUGUUUCUGUCCUAUAGAUAAAGAUGAUCCUAUGCAGAAAUUCCUUUUCUCUUCCCUUUAUGCCUGUGUGGCUAUUCAGGAAAGUGUAAUCGUUGCUGAGGUGAACGUUGUCUGCUUCUCUUGAUGUUCGUCAAACUUGUACUUAUUCUCACUACUGCAACUGCUGCUAGGAGCUGAAGCCUUAUCUUCUACCAACUAAACAGCCAUUAUGAGUUAAUUUCUGGUGGAGAGCUUCUGAUGUGUGCUGAUUUGAGAUCUACAUCAGCAAAUGAGAUGGGGAAAGGAGUAAGGGAGGGAGGAAAAAAAGCAAGAUUGAGAAAGAAAAACAGCUUUAUAUGCAGCAUCCAAUAGUGCAGGUUAUCUAAUAACAGAAAUAUAGUCCUAAAAUCUUGGUUUUAAGAUUCCAUUGUUGUAAACAAACUUCUCCUUGGUCAAAAACCUUUGUCGGCAAUCUCAGCAGCUUCAAAUACUGAGCUUUCAUGGUCUUCUUAUUCACAUUAGACUAUUACUGCACCAGGAACAAAACCCAUAUGAAGGUUUGAGGGACUUUCCAUGAUGAUGUUAGAGCCUUCAACAUUCCUUCAUCCACUUCUUUCCAAAACCACUGUCCAUCAGAUGACAGAUUUCAAAGUAUAGGGAUAUCACUAAGACUACCUUCUGUAGCCUGCUCGGCAUCUCCUGGGCUACAAGCAAAUGGGCUGCCCCAAGCAAGUCAGAGAGGCAGUGAUGAACAUGACAGUGUGCACCUUGCAAAACACAGGGUAAAAGAUGAUGUUAACCCGCAGAUUCCGUGAUAAUUUUGUGCUAAAACUGUGGCAAAAAGUUUACACAGAAAUGACAGAAGAAAUGUAGCUUGUCUUCUAAUCUUCCAGACUUCCAGAAUUUUGUUUCUCUGCAGCUCUUUUCCUAUAGUGUUUGGGUUAUGUCAGCUGCCCACCAUCAAGAAAUGGGAUUCUUCUUUCACACUGGGGUAAAUCAGGCAUAACUGCAUUGAAAAUGAUGGUGCUGAUGGUGUGACAGGUUAAUUGAUCCCUAAAUAUCAGCUUUCUGCAGGGCUGUGCAGAGUAUUCAAUGCUGAUCUUUCAGACCAUUCUACUAGUGUUUU